GCUGUGCCAUUGUGCUAGGUGCUGGGCAUAGGAGUGAAAAAGACACCAAAGUCCUCAGUUCCAGGGAAUUAAUUUUUCUAGUAAACAAACAAACCAAAAAACAAGGAAAGUCAUCAUUACUAUGGAGAAAACAACACUGGAUCUUGUCAUAGCGACUGAGGCCUCCACAGAAGUGUCUUCCUUUGGCUUUGGUAUCAAGGUAAUGCUGGCCUCAUAAGAUAUGGGGUCUCACUAUGUUGUCCAUGCUGAUCUCAAACUCCUGGGCUCAAGCAAUCUUCCCACCUCAGCCUCCCAAAGUGCUGGGAUUACAGGAGCACAAAGGAAAGGCCAUGCGAGGACACAGGGAGAAGACAGGCCCCUACCAGUCAGGAAGGGAGCCCUCACCAGAAACUGAGCUGGCCAGCACAAUGGUCUUGGACUUGUAGCUCCAGAACUGUGAGGAAAUAAAUUUCUGUUGUUGAAGCC
RNAcentral lists this long non-coding RNA (465 nucleotides) under Homo sapiens (human). RNAcentral describes it as "HSALNT0329209". Lineage: Eukaryota; Metazoa; Chordata; Mammalia; Primates; Hominidae. The record is from RNAcentral.